Molecule: long non-coding RNA, 1010 nt
Organism: Bombus impatiens (common eastern bumble bee)
Lineage: Eukaryota; Metazoa; Arthropoda; Insecta; Hymenoptera; Apidae
Exons: 2
Source: RefSeq, a predicted model, not a curated record
UAUAUGGACGUAUAUGGACGUAUAUACAUACAUAUAUCAGCAGCCUCGGUUUAACCUAGAUCCCUCGAAAGCGUCACUGAUUUUUCGACGCCUGAAUAGUUGGGAUAGUUGGAAGAACGUCGGUCGAGAUAUAAUUAAUUAGUUCUCUCGUGGAAAUUCUUUCGAAUUAUAUAAUUUCCGUCGUGCGGAAAAUAAUCGUUUUCCAACAAGAACGGUGGUUGCAUUACGAGGUAAACUCAUUUAACCAGAAUAAAUCUAAACCGCGUUUUAUUGCCAGAUAAACGGCAUGAUCUUCGCUGUGAGAACAAAAUUAUUUCAUCUCCUACUCUCGUUUUUACUUUCUCGCCUUUUUUUAUUUUUCCUUUUUCCUCUUUUUAUUUUCCGUUUUAUUUCUUACUUCCAUCUUCUUGCGACCGUCAUCCACCAUCUCCAUUUGCAAAACUCUCUCGAUUUCAUUUCACUCUUGACGUAUUUCUGCUUGAAAUACCUGGGUGAAUUAUUUGCGUGUACCACGUGCAGUAGCAUACUAAUGCACCACAUGAGCGAAAAGAGAGAACUCAUGGCAAGCCGCGGGCUUUGAGAGGUUAGGCGAUCGCCAUCUGAACUGAGGAUGGUUGUGUACAAUAAAGUUUUCGAGCGACGAUGCAUAUGUCACGUAGAAGACACAGGAAAUCACGAAACUAAUAGAUCACUGGUGAUGUUUUCGCGUAACGCUUCAGUGUUAUAACGAAAAGGUGUUGGGCGCUGAUUUGUGAGGGUUCUUAUACUAAGCUUUGACGCGGCUUUCCUGUCACUAUCUGAUUAUUGUUCCAAUGCCUGUGACAUACAGGAUGUUUUGUCUACCCUAUUACUGUUUCUGUAAUAUUCCCGCUUUGCUCCGUUAAAGCGUGCGGCUUUGGUGGGUCGUACGAGUUGAACGAUCUCGUUAUCUUCAUCUUCGGUGAUAUUUUAGGCUUCAUUUUGGGCAAUCGUCCUGCGGACUGGUGGAGAAAUUGGUGCCGUUGGUAUUU